AAUGAGGCACCUUAAUUUUUGCUCAUAAUAACUUUUUUAGGUACCCCACGGUUUACUUGAAGUACUAAAACAACAUUUAGCUUCUUUGGAAGAGAAAAAUGACACUUUACCUCCUUACUGUGUGCCUCAUAUUUAUUGUGAUCUUUUAACUCUCCAACCUGCAUUGACUCCAUCCUUCCCAAAUAGUCCAGUUGUGACAGCUUCAGCAAGCAGAGCUUGGUUUGCAGAUUAUUUUGACUACAUGAUACAUUACAACCAUCAUUAUCUUCGCAAGCCCACGAACCUGUUGGAACCAGACAGCAAGGUGGAACGAUUAUAGCAAACAACCUAAAUGGCUCACCUGCUAGCCUUGUAGGAAGUAAACAUCUAUUUUUAAAUUAAUAUUUUAAAUAUAUUUUAAAAUGCAUUUUAAGAAAAAGCAUUUACACAAAAAUAAUGUAAAACUUGUGUUUGUUUUAUGAAACAGAUUUUAACUUUGAAGAAAUCCCAGUCAACAGGUAAGUUUUUAUUAUUUAAGAAAAGACAGAGAGGGAUGGCUGGGCAGGAAAGAAAAAAAAAAAGGACAACCA
RNAcentral lists this long non-coding RNA (569 nucleotides) under Macaca nemestrina (pig-tailed macaque). Its description in RNAcentral is "lncRNA (ENSMNEG00000046084.1)". The record is from RNAcentral. Lineage: Eukaryota; Metazoa; Chordata; Mammalia; Primates; Cercopithecidae.